AUCUUGAUUUCUGAUUUGAGCAUGAAGUGUGGAGAUGGAUCCUGGAAGAUUCAUUGGUAAGCACGAAAGCCUGUAGGACCAAAAUAUUGGUUUGUGAUUCCAUUAUGGAAACUUUGGAGAUGGAGGGUGUCGUCAAUAAUAUCAUCCAGCCAUGUAGUGCAUUGGAAGCUUUGAAGCUUGUCUCUGCCUGCAGCAGAAGUGUGUCAAAUUAUCUCACGUUUGCCAGAAAAACAAUUUGAUCACUUCUUGUAAGCCAUAUGGUCAAAUUUGUUUCCCAACUUUAGCCACUGAAACUAUCUUUGCUGUUGGAGACAAGAUCCAUAUCUGAUUGUGAGCGAAAUAUCAGUUCGUGCUGCUCCUGUAAAGUAUCAACUCAUCUGUACAUCCUCCUUGCUCAGGCAUAUGUUAAUUUCUCUGAACAUUGGUUGGACAUUGCCCAUGUAACACUCCAACUCCUAUCACCUUAGCCCCAGAUGAUACCGAUGCGUCACCCAGUGUGUUGAGCAGUUGGCCAUGGUUGGGAGCCAGGGAGCAGCACGACAUGAGGGCACGACACUCAGGCAAGAACUUACUUUGCAGAGUUAGGUAAAUCUUAGGGCAAGCAGCUCGGAUUACUGAUGGCGUGGAUGGCCGCGAGGUACUUGAUCAACGGAUUAGAUGUGGAGUGGAGUCAAUGAAGGGAUGUGUAGCAGAUCAAGUGUGAAAGUUAGGGAAAUAGGUUAAGGGAAAGAUAUUGGACCGUCAACGCAAAUCGUGAUGUGGAUGGACGGUAUUAGCCAAGAAAUUGUUUACGAAGGCAAACAUUUGUAAUAGUUUCUGGUUCCCGUGGUAUCAGUAAAGGGGCACAAAAUCUCGAACCAAACUUUUUCUGUCUUGCUACUCACAA
Lolium perenne is the source of this 886-nucleotide non-coding RNA. Lineage: Eukaryota; Viridiplantae; Streptophyta; Magnoliopsida; Poales; Poaceae. The record is from RefSeq and is a predicted model, not a curated record.